RNAcentral lists this transfer RNA (84 nucleotides) under Conexibacter arvalis. RNAcentral describes it as "Conexibacter sp. KV-962 tRNA". It matches the Rfam family "tRNA". From Rfam's summary of the family: Transfer RNA (tRNA) molecules are approximately 80 nucleotides in length. Their secondary structure includes four short double-helical elements and three loops (D, anti-codon, and T loops). RNAcentral also lists the same sequence under 7 other names. The record is from Rfam by way of RNAcentral. Lineage: Bacteria; Bacillati; Actinomycetota; Thermoleophilia; Solirubrobacterales; Conexibacteraceae.
GCGGCUGUGGCGGAAUCGGUAGACGCGCAGGCUUCAGGUGCCUGUGAGCUUCGGCUCGUGGAGGUUCAAGUCCUCUCAGCCGCA